RNAcentral lists this ribosomal RNA (790 nucleotides) under uncultured archaeon. RNAcentral describes it as "bacterial SSU rRNA". It matches the Rfam family "Archaeal small subunit ribosomal RNA", at positions 88 to 881 of the family's 1478-position model. The record is from RNAcentral.
GCUCAGUAACACGUAGUCAACAUGCCCAGGGGACGAGGAUAACCUCGGGAAACUGAGGAUAAACCUCGAUAGGCCAUGAUUUCUGGAAUGAUUCUUGGCUCAAACCUAUAUGGCCCCUGGAUUGGACUGCGGCCGAUCAGGCUGUUGGUGAGGUAAUGGCCCACCAAACCUAUUACCGGUACGGGCUCUGAGAGGAGGAGCCCGGAGAUGGGCACUGAGACAAGGGCCCAGGCCCUAUGGGGCGCAGCAGGCGCGAAACCUCUGCAAUAGGCGAAAGCUUGACAGGGUUACUCUGAGUGAUUUCCGCUAAGGGAAUCUUUUGGCACCUCUAAAAAUGGUGCAGAAUAAGGGGUGGGCAAGUCUGGUGUCAGCCGCCGCGGUAAUACCAGCACCCCGAGUGGUCGGGACGAUUAUUGGGCCUAAAGCAUCCGUAGCCGGUCCUGCAAGUCUUCCGUUAAAUCCAGCUGCUCAACAGAUGGGCUGCAGGAGAUACUACAGGGCUAGGAGGCGGGAGAGGCAAGCGGUACUUUAUGGGUAGGGGUAAAAUCCGCUGAUCCAUAGAAGACCACCAGUGGCGAAGGCGGCUUGCCAGAACGCGCUCGACGGUGAGGGAUGAAAGCUGGGGGAGCAAACCGGAUUAGAUACCCGGGUAGUCCCAGCUGUAAACGAUGCAGACUCGGUGAUGGGUUGGCCUCGCGCCUGCCCAGUGCCGCAGGGAAGCCGUUAAGUCUGCCGCCUGGGGAGUACGGUCGCAAGACUGAAACUUAAAGGAAUUGGCGGGGGAGCACCA